This 545-nucleotide long non-coding RNA is filed under the name Brassica napus (rape). RNAcentral's name for it is "long non-coding RNA (BNAP_LNC018197)". Lineage: Eukaryota; Viridiplantae; Streptophyta; Magnoliopsida; Brassicales; Brassicaceae. The record is from RNAcentral.
UAAAAGAGAAGAAGAAGAAAUGUGUUUCACAAGGAAUAAAAGAGAAGAAGAAGACCGUGUUAAAAGAUGAAAAAGAAAGAGAGAAAGCAACAUUUUAAUAGAGGAAAAGAGAAGAAGAAGAUCAAGUUAGAUACAGGUUUUUUAAUUGCCAUUACUCUUUGAGUUUAGUUGAGUUGAGAUGAGUAGACAUCUAUCUAACUUAUUUAUUACUACCACACAGUCCUAAUGGAACCCUAAAAGCAGCAUUCAUCUAAGCAAUUACUACCACACAGUCCUAACUCUAACAAGCAUUUAAUUAACCUAACAACUAGCCAGACCAAAGCAAUUAGUAAAAAGUAAGCGAAUGAGGAGCUGUACUAACCUCACUGACAGUCUUGUGUAGUGGUUGCUUCUUGAAGUUACAGGAGGAGGAGCUUCAGUCGAGAGGUCAAAGCCUCUAAGGCAACAGGAGUCCAUAGAAUGACAAAAGUCCCUGCCAUAAUUAACAACACAAACUGUAAUCAACACAAACUAUAAUUAAUCUUUCAAUCAACACAAACUGUAAU